RNAcentral lists this ribosomal RNA (429 nucleotides) under bacterium. RNAcentral describes it as "partial 16S ribosomal RNA". It matches the Rfam family "Bacterial small subunit ribosomal RNA", at positions 355 to 776 of the family's 1533-position model. The record is from RNAcentral.
UGGGGAAUUUUGGACAAUGGGCGAAAGCCUGAUCCAGCAAUGCCGCGUGUGUGAAGAAGGCCUUCGGGUUGUAAAGCACUUUUGUCCGGAAAGAAAACGCCGUGGUUAAUACCCGUGGCGGAUGACGGUACCGGAAGAAUAAGCACCGGCUAACUACGUGCCAGCAGCCGCGGUAAUACGUAGGGUGCAAGCGUUAAUCGGUAUUACUGGGCGUAAAGCGUGCGCAGGCGGUCCGCUAAGACAGAUGUGAAAUCCCCGGGCUUAACCUGGGAACUGCAUUUGUGACUGGCGGGCUAGAGUAUGGCAGAGGGGUGUAGAAUUCCACGUGUAGCAGUGAAAUGCGUAGAGAUGUGGAGGAAUACCGAUGGCGAAGGCAGCCCCCUGGGCCAAUACUGACGCUCAUGCACGAAAGCGUGGGGAGCAAACAGG